This is a non-coding RNA of Pelobates cultripes (western spadefoot toad), 393 nucleotides long. The record is from the annotation of a GenBank genome assembly. Lineage: Eukaryota; Metazoa; Chordata; Amphibia; Anura; Pelobatidae.
UUAUUUUUUUUAUUUUUUUUAUUCCAGCAUAGCAGAUCUGUGCAGUGUAUGAAACCAUACAAGACUGCUGUUUUUACAGCCAAGAUCUACAUUUUUUUUAAAGUAUUUUUUCCUCCUGUAAAAUUAUUUUGGUAAGACUGCAACUUGGUUGGGGUUAAUUACCCAACCCGCAAAGUGUAGACGAUGCACAAAGGCUUUACUGAUGAUUUGGGGUUCUUUUCUACUAUUGUAGAAACCUUUAGGGAGGUAGAGGGCAAAUAGAAUGAAGUACCUUUUUUUUUUUUUUUUUUGAUUUUCUUUCUUUGUUUUGUUUUGCUAAUGCUGAAAUAGAACAAAAGAGAAAGGUGUUAAAAUGUAGGAUAUAUUGUUUGAUACAGAAAUAGGGUAAAUUUU